UGUGCACGUCUCUGGUCAUUACCAAUUCCACCUGUGCACACUUGUAGACACUUGGGAAUGAGAGACCUUGACCAGUCUCUUGAGAAGUUGAAAAUCUGGGUGUCUAUGCCAUUUUAUUAAACACUAGUUGCAUGUUUAUAGAAUGAUGAUUUGAUUAAAUAUAAAGUACAACUCUUCACCAACGGAUCUCUUGGCUCUCGCAUCGAUGAAGAACGCAGCGAAAUGCGAUAAGUAAUGUGAAUUGCAGAAUUCAGUGAAUCAUCGAAUCUUUGAACGCACCUUGCGCUCCUUGGCAUUCCGAGGAGCAUGCCUGUUUGAGUGUCAUUAAAUUCUCAAGACCUGUCUGCUUUUUUGAUAGGUAUUGGAUUUUUGGGGGUUGCAGGCUGUUUCAAAUAAAAAUAGCCUUGCUCUCUUUGAAUGUAUUAGUGGAGAAAAGCCAUUGAACUCCAUUGGUGUGAUAAAACCUAUCAAUGCCAGGAGCAAUAU
This 486-nucleotide ribosomal RNA is filed under the name Amanita phalloides. RNAcentral's name for it is "eukaryotic LSU rRNA". The stretch from base 171 to 324 matches the Rfam family "5.8S ribosomal RNA". The record is from RNAcentral. Lineage: Eukaryota; Fungi; Basidiomycota; Agaricomycetes; Agaricales; Amanitaceae.